UGGGGAAUAUUGCACAAUGGGGGAAACCCUGAUGCAGCGACGCCGCGUGAGCGAAGAAGGUUUUCGAAUCGUAAAGCUCUGUCCUAUGAGAAGAUAAUGACGGUAUCAUAGGAGGAAGCCCCGGCUAAAUACGUGCCAGCAGCCGCGGUAAUACGUAUGGGGCGAGCGUUGUCCGGAAUUAUUGGGCGUAAAGGGUACGUAGGCGGUCUAUUAAGUCAGGUGUGAAAGCGUGAGGCUUAACCUCAUUAAGCACUUGAAACUGAUAGACUUGAGUGAAGGAGAGGAAAGUGGAAUUCCUAGUGUCGCGGUGAAAUGCGUAGAUAUUAGGAGGAAUACCUGUUGCGAAGGCGACUUUCUGGACUUUUACUGACGCUCAGGUACGAAAGCGUGGGGAGCAAACAGG
RNAcentral lists this ribosomal RNA (403 nucleotides) under Verrucomicrobiota bacterium. RNAcentral describes it as "Verrucomicrobia bacterium partial 16S ribosomal RNA". It matches the Rfam family "Bacterial small subunit ribosomal RNA", at positions 355 to 776 of the family's 1533-position model. Lineage: Bacteria; Pseudomonadati; Verrucomicrobiota. The record is from RNAcentral.